This 73-nucleotide transfer RNA is filed under the name Deltaproteobacteria bacterium. Its description in RNAcentral is "tRNA-Phe". It matches the Rfam family "tRNA". Rfam says of the family: Transfer RNA (tRNA) molecules are approximately 80 nucleotides in length. Their secondary structure includes four short double-helical elements and three loops (D, anti-codon, and T loops). Lineage: Bacteria; Pseudomonadati; Myxococcota; Myxococcia. The record is from RNAcentral. RNAcentral also lists the same sequence under 2 other names.
GCCCAGGUAGCUCAGUUGGUAGAGCAGGGGACUGAAAAUCCCCGUGUGGGCGGUUCGAUUCCGUCCCUGGGCA